RNAcentral lists this ribosomal RNA (500 nucleotides) under uncultured Glomeromycotina. RNAcentral describes it as "partial small subunit ribosomal RNA". It matches the Rfam family "Eukaryotic small subunit ribosomal RNA", at positions 591 to 1092 of the family's 1831-position model. The record is from RNAcentral. Lineage: Eukaryota; Fungi; Glomeromycota.
CCAAUAGCGUAUAUUAAAGUUGUUGCAGUUAAAAAGCUCGUCGUUGAAUUUCGGGGUCAGCAGGUCGGUCGUGCCAAUGGUAUGCACUGGCCUUGCUGAUUCCUCCCUCUUGAUGAGCCGUAAUGUCAUUAAUUUGGUGUUGCGGGGAAUCAGGAUUGUUACUUUGAAAAAAUUAGAGUGUUUAAAGCAGGCAAGCGCUUGAAUACAUUAGCAUGGAAUAAUGAAAUAGGACGUUUGAUCCUAUUUUGUUGGUUUCUAGGAUUGACGCAAUGAUUAAUAGGGAUAGUUGGGGGCAUUAGUAUUCAAUUGUCAGAGGUGAAAUUCUUGGAUUUAUUGAAGACUAACUACUGCGAAAGCAUUUGCCAAGGAUGUUUUCAUUAAUCAAGAACGAAAGUUAGGGGAUCGAAGACGAUCAGAUACCGUCGUAGUCUUAACCAUAAACUAUGCCGACUAGGGAUCGGAUGAUGUUAAUUUUUUAAUGACUCAUUCGGCGCCUUACG